This 319-nucleotide ribosomal RNA is filed under the name uncultured fungus. RNAcentral's name for it is "SSU rRNA". It matches the Rfam family "Eukaryotic small subunit ribosomal RNA", at positions 39 to 352 of the family's 1831-position model. The record is from RNAcentral. Lineage: Eukaryota; Fungi.
AAAGAUUAAGCCAUGCAUGUCUAAGUAUAAGCGCCUUAUACUGUGAAACUGCUAAUGGCUCAUUAUAUCAGUAAUAGUUUAUUUGAUGGUCCCUUACUACCUGGAUACCCGUAGUAAUUCUAGAGCUAAUACAUGCACUACGGUCCCAACAGCCUCGGCGGGCGGGAUGCCUUUAUUAGAUCGAAACCAAUGCGGCGCAAGCCGAUGUUGUGGUGAAUCAUGAUAACCUAGCGAAUCGCAUGCCUUCUGGGCGGCGAUGUUUCAUUCAAGUUUCUGCCCUAUCAGCUUCGGAUGGUAGGGUAUUGGCCUACCAUGGCUU